RNAcentral lists this unclassified non-coding RNA (284 nucleotides) under plant metagenome. RNAcentral describes it as "partial contains small subunit ribosomal RNA, internal transcribed spacer 1, and 5.8S ribosomal RNA". The stretch from base 1 to 53 matches the Rfam family "Eukaryotic small subunit ribosomal RNA", at positions 1778 to 1831 of the family's 1831-position model. The record is from RNAcentral.
GGAAGUAAAGUCGUAACAAGGUUUCCGUAGGUGAACCUGCGGAAGGAUCAUUAUUGUAUAACCGAGGUGCGAGGGCUGUCGCUGACCCGAAAGGUCGUGCACGCCCGAGUGCCCUCACACACAUCCAUCUCACCCCUACGUGCACCACCGCGUGGGUCCCCCUUUGGCUUGUUCGGAGGGGGGCUUACGUUUUCACACAAACUUUGUAUGCAGUGUAGAAUGUAUUUUUUGUUUUUGCGAUCACGCAAUCAAUACAACUUUCAACAACGGAUCUCUUGGCUCUC